Molecule: ribosomal RNA, 253 nt
Filed under: uncultured prokaryote
Description: partial 16S ribosomal RNA
Rfam family: Bacterial small subunit ribosomal RNA
Source: RNAcentral
ACGUAGGGUGCGAGCGUUAAUCGGAAUUACUGGGCGUAAAGGGCGCGUAGGCGGUUCGCUAAGUCGGAUGUGAAAACUCUGGGCUCAACCCAGAGCCUGCAUCCGAAACUGGCGGGCUAGAGUUCUGGAGGGGGUAGCGGAAUUCCUGGUGUAGCGGUGAAAUGCGUAGAUAUCAGGAGGAACACCGGUGGCGAAGGCGGCUACCUGGACAGAAACUGACGCUGAGGCGCGAAAGCUAGGGGAGCAAACAGGA